AGCAGUGGGGAAUAUUGGACAAUGGGCGAAAGCCUGAUCCAGCCAUGCCGCGUGUGUGAAGAAGGUCUUCGGAUUGUAAAGCACUUUAAGUUGGGAGGAAGGGCAGUUACCUAAUACGUGAUUGUUUUGACGUUACCGACAGAAUAAGCACCGGCUAACUCUGUGCCAGCAGCCGCGGUAAUACAGAGGGUGCAAGCGUUAAUCGGAAUUACUGGGCGUAAAGCGCGCGUAGGUGGUUUGUUAAGUUGGAUGUGAAAUCCCCGGGCUCAACCUGGGAACUGCAUUCAAAACUGACUGACUAGAGUGUGGUAGAGGGUGGUGGAAUUUCCUGUGUAGCGGUGAAAUGCGUAGAUAUAGGAAGGAACACCAGUGGCGAAAGCGACCACCUGGACCAACACUGACACUGAGG
This 409-nucleotide ribosomal RNA is filed under the name uncultured bacterium. RNAcentral describes it as "bacterial SSU rRNA". It matches the Rfam family "Bacterial small subunit ribosomal RNA", at positions 350 to 751 of the family's 1533-position model. The record is from RNAcentral.